GGAACAUGUCCUGUAGUGGGGGAUAGCCCGGCGAAAGCCGGAUUAAUACCGCAUACGAUCUGAGGAUGAAAGCGGGGGACCUUCGGGCCUCGCGCUAUAGGGUUGGCCGAUGGCUGAUUAGCUAGUUGGUGGGGUAAAGGCCUACCAAGGCGACGACCAGUAGCUGGUCUGAGAGGACGACCAGCCACACUGGGACUGAGACACGGCCCAGACUCCUACGGGAGGCAGCAGUGGGGAAUUUUGGACAAUGGGCGAAAGCCUGAUCCAGCAAUGCCGCGUGUGUGAAGAAGGCCUUCGGGUUGUAAAGCACUUUUGUCCGGAAAGAAAUCCUUGGUUCUAAUAUAGCCGGGGGANGACGGUACCGGAAGAAUAAGCACCGGCUAACUACGUGCCAGCAGCCGCGGUAAUACAUAGGGUGCAAGCGUUAAUCGGAAUUACUGGGCGUAAAGCGUGCGCAGGCGGUUUGCUAAGACCGAUGUGAAAUCCCCGGGCUCAACCUGGGAACUGCAUUGGUGNCUGGCA
RNAcentral lists this ribosomal RNA (522 nucleotides) under uncultured Burkholderia sp. Its description in RNAcentral is "bacterial SSU rRNA". It matches the Rfam family "Bacterial small subunit ribosomal RNA", at positions 121 to 638 of the family's 1533-position model. The record is from RNAcentral. Lineage: Bacteria; Pseudomonadati; Pseudomonadota; Betaproteobacteria; Burkholderiales; Burkholderiaceae.